GAUGAACGCUGGCGGCGUGCCUAAUACAUGCAAGUCGAGCGAACGGACGAGAAGCUUGCUUCUCUGAUGUUAGCGGCGGACGGGUGAGUAACACGUGGAUAACCUACCUAUAAGACUGGGAUAACUUCGGGAAACCGUAGCUAAUACCGGAUAAUAUUUUGAACCGCAUGGUUCAAAAGUGAAAGACGGUCUUGCUGUCACUUAUAGAUGGAUCCGCGCUGCAUUAGCUAGUUGGUAAGGUAACGGCUUACCAAGGCAACGAUGCAUAGCCGACCUGAGAGGGUGAUCGGCCACACUGGAACUGAGACACGGUCCAGACUCCUACGGGAGGCAGCAGUAGGGAAUCUUCCGCAAUGGGCGAAAGCCUGACAGAGCAACGCCGCGUGAGUGAUGAAGGUCUUCGGAUCGUAAAACUCUGUUAUUAGGGAAGAACAUAUGUGUAAGUAUCUGUGCACAUCUUGACGGUACCUAAUCAGAAAGCCACGGCUAACUACGUG
RNAcentral lists this ribosomal RNA (497 nucleotides) under uncultured bacterium. RNAcentral describes it as "partial 16S ribosomal RNA". It matches the Rfam family "Bacterial small subunit ribosomal RNA", at positions 28 to 507 of the family's 1533-position model. The record is from RNAcentral.